This 439-nucleotide ribosomal RNA is filed under the name uncultured bacterium. RNAcentral's name for it is "partial 16S ribosomal RNA". It matches the Rfam family "Bacterial small subunit ribosomal RNA", at positions 339 to 795 of the family's 1533-position model. The record is from RNAcentral.
CUACGGGGGGCACCAGUGAGGAAUAUUGCACAAUGGGGGAAACCCUGAUGCAGCAACGCCGCGUGGAGGAUGACGCAUUUCGGUGUGUAAACUCCUUUUAUCAGAGAAGAAAAUGACGGUAUCUGAUGAAUAAGCUCCGGCUAACUCCGUGCCAGCAGCCGCGGUAAUACGGAGGGAGCAAGCGUUAUUCGGAAUCACUGGGGGUAAAGGACGCGUAGGCGGGUUUUUAAGUCAGGUGUGAAAUCCUAUGGCUCAACCAUUGAACUGCACUUGAAACUGGGGACCUAGAGUAUGGAAGGGGCAGGUGGAAUUAGUGGUGUAGGGGUAAAAUCCGUAGAUAUCACUAGGAAUACCGAAAGCGAAGGCGACCUUCUGGGACAUUACUGACGCUGAGGCGUGAAAGCGUGGGGAGCAAACAGGAUUAGAUACCCUGGUAGUC